CAAAUUCAAAACCGUCUCCCAUCAAUCUCCCCGUCUGACUUAAGCAUCGGAGGGGCGACGAGAACACACCUCAUUGCCUUUUGUUUCAGGUAUCGGAAGACUGUUCGUGCUCAUUUGAGAGAUCCAAGCUCGGAGUUCAAACCACAAAUUCUCUAUCAGGUAUAAUUUUUUGGUAGCAUCACAUACCAUUACCAAUAAGAACUAAGUUGACUUGACAUUGACCGUCGAGGCCACACAUGAAGAAGGCUGAGCCAGCACAUGGAGGAUCGCCAAUGCGCCACCGGCCGUGCUCCAAUUUCUUAACGUGCGACUGUUAUCUCACUUUUAAUUUCGCACUCAUUUUCUCGCAGGUCUUUUGUCUCUCUCCCUUUAAAGCUCGCACGCGGCAGCGGAACCCAAAACCCCCAUGUUUAUCAAUGCAUUAUACACUAACGUGCACCUCAAAUUCCAUAAUUCUGGAGGUAAUUCAAAUUUGAGUUAUAAAUAUGUAAUACACUAGUUUCAAUGGUAUUUAAGAUCUUAAUCUUAAUGCGCCCAUUUUAUUUUUCCUUAUCAAGUUUAAAGAAUUAAUGGAAAAAAUAAAUAUCAUUGCUGCUGGACUGGUUAGACAUUAAUUUAGUUCUGUAUUGCUCUGUUUUUCACCUUUUUUUUUGCAUGCAAAUUGAAUAGGAGGAUAGAGAAAGAAGAAUAUGAUUAUUUGCUGAUAAUAUAUACAUAAUGAUAUAUGUUCGAUUCUGUUUUUCAACAUGUGCCUAUUUGUAGAGUUUAAUAUACAUUUUAUGGUAGUUCUUCACUGUAGUUGAUCAUCUUCUCAUGCCGGAAAAGUUAAUAUUGUUGAUCGAGUGAAGUUAUUGGUUGAAUGCGAAAUAUUAUAAGUUAAUAACAAUUUGGGGUAUGUUUGGUACUGUAUUCGAUAAGGAUUUUUUAUUAUUUAUUUAUUUUAAUAUUGUUGUAUUAUAGUCUACCAUACCAAACAAGCAGCCAAUCGUUCUAACAAAAUCCCUUUUUUCUUGUAAUUUGAUCACAACUUGAUGUUCAGUUACCCUUUUUUGUCCCGAUAGUAGAUUUCUUGCCUUUAAGAUUGUGAAUUUUAUGCCACACCACCAUUAUCUUCAGCAGUUUGGGGUAGUACAUGCUAUUCUAUUAAAAAGGUCUUUUGUGUAAAGUGCAGCAAUGAAUCAAAGAGGAGCUGGGUUUGACACUAGUUUUUUACAUUAUUUGUUUUCCUUAAUGAGAAAUGAGAAAUGAGGUAUUUUAGCGGUGGAGUAUCGAAUACGGAAUGUGUUCAAUGCAUGCAUCCUUGAUAAAGGCAAUUUCUUACCAGGAAAUGUCUACCUAUUGGCUUUCCGCUUUCCAUGACAUAGCUGAACUUCUGUUUGUCCUUCGGCUUCUUGGUACGUC
This 1401-nucleotide long non-coding RNA is filed under the name Olea europaea subsp. europaea. The record is from RNAcentral. Lineage: Eukaryota; Viridiplantae; Streptophyta; Magnoliopsida; Lamiales; Oleaceae.